This 85-nucleotide small RNA is filed under the name Flavobacterium sp. fv08. RNAcentral describes it as "Flavo-1 RNA". It matches the Rfam family "Flavo-1 RNA". The record is from RNAcentral. RNAcentral also lists the same sequence under 1 other name. Lineage: Bacteria; Pseudomonadati; Bacteroidota; Flavobacteriia; Flavobacteriales; Flavobacteriaceae.
GCCUAGCCCCGAUAGAAACGAUAUCCUUUUGUGGCCCCGAUAGCUAUCGGGGCCACAAAAGAUAAAGUGAAUAGCGGGACAAUUG